UAGAUAAGAGUUCAAGAGUACGUGCAUCUGCUUAGAGGUUAAGCCCGAUGAACCUGNAUAUNCNUUAUGGAAAAUUCAACAUUAAUAUUAUGAUAUUUAUUUAUAAAUAUUAUAAAAAUGGUGUGCAAUUUUUCCAUAUAAGGACAUUGUAAUCUGUUAAUGUAAUAAAUAUUUAUCAUAAGAUUCAAUAAUAAAAAGUUUAUUCAAAUUAGUUAUUUUCGGAUUUCUAACAUAGAAUAAAUUUUAUUGAAUUUGAUAAAUCAUUGACAGAUUUAUUUAUAUAUAGUGCAUAAAUUCUUUAUUGAAUUUUACAAUAAUUUUUAAAUGUAUUUUCAUUUAUUAAUUUAUUGUAUGCACUUAUAUGAUUAACAAUGCUAUAGAUUCAGGAUACCUUCGGGACCCGUCUUGAAACACGGACCAAA
This 422-nucleotide ribosomal RNA is filed under the name Merodon elegans. RNAcentral describes it as "eukaryotic LSU rRNA". Lineage: Eukaryota; Metazoa; Arthropoda; Insecta; Diptera; Syrphidae. The record is from RNAcentral.